RNAcentral lists this ribosomal RNA (452 nucleotides) under uncultured bacterium. RNAcentral describes it as "bacterial SSU rRNA". It matches the Rfam family "Bacterial small subunit ribosomal RNA", at positions 29 to 487 of the family's 1533-position model. The record is from RNAcentral.
AACGAACGCUGGCGGCGCGCCUAAUACAUGCAAGUCGAGCGAGAAGGUGUAGCAAUACACUUGUAAAGCGGCGAACGGGUGAGGAAUGCAUGGGUAACCUACCCUCGAGUGGGGAAUAACUAGCCGAAAGGUUAGCUAAUACCGCAUACGUUUCCGGAACUUCGGUUUCGGAAAGAAAGCAAUACCGUGGGUAUUGCGCUCCUGGAUGGGCUCAUGUCCUAUCAGCUUGUUGGUGAGGUAACGGCUCACCAAGGCUUCGACGGGUAGCUGGUCUGAGAGGACGAUCAGCCACACUGGCACUGCGACACGGGCCAGACUCCUACGGGAGCAGCAGUAAGGAAUAUUGCGCAAUGGACGAAAGUCUGACGCAGCGACGCCGCGUGGGGGGAUGAAGGUCUUAGGGAUUGUAAAAAUUCUUUCACCGGGGACGAUAAUGACGGUACCCGGAGAAG